This is a small nuclear RNA of Artibeus jamaicensis (Jamaican fruit-eating bat), 183 nucleotides long. RefSeq annotates it as U2 spliceosomal RNA. The transcript has a single exon. The record is from RefSeq and is a predicted model, not a curated record. Lineage: Eukaryota; Metazoa; Chordata; Mammalia; Chiroptera; Phyllostomidae.
GGCACUUCUCAGCCUUUUGGCUCAGAUCAAGUAUAGUAUCUGUUCUUACCAGUUUAAUAUCUGAUAUGUCCUCUAUCUGAGGACAUUAUUAAAUGGAUUUUUGGAGCUGGGAGAUGGAGCUUGCUCCAUCCACUCUGCAUAUCAACCCAGUGUUGCAGUACUUCUGGGAAUGGUGCAUCAGAG